RNAcentral lists this ribosomal RNA (586 nucleotides) under uncultured bacterium. Its description in RNAcentral is "partial 16S ribosomal RNA". It matches the Rfam family "Bacterial small subunit ribosomal RNA", at positions 355 to 1375 of the family's 1533-position model. The record is from RNAcentral.
UGGGGAAUUUUGGACAAUGGGCGAAAGCCUGAUCCAGCAAUGCCGCGUGUGUGAAGAAGGCCUUCGGGUUGUAAAGCACUUUUGUCCGGAAAGAAAUCCUUGGCUCUAAUACAGUCGGGGGAUGACGGUACCGGAAGAAUAAGCACCGGCUAACUACGUGCCAGCAGCCGCGGUAAUACGUAGGGUGCAAGCGUUAAUCGGAAUUACUGGGCGUAAAGCGUGCGCAGGCGGUUUGCUAAGACCGAUGUGAAAUCCCCGGGCUCAACCUGGGAACUGCAUUGGUGACUGGCAGGCUAGAGUAUGGCAGAGGGGGGUAGAAUUCCACGUGUAGCAGUGAAAUGCGUAGAGAUGUGGAGGAAUACCGAUGGCGAAGGCAGCCCCCUGGGCCAAUACUGACGCUCAUGCACGAAAGCGUGGGGAGCAAACAGGAUUAGAUACCCUGGUAGUCCACGCCCUAAACGAUGUCAACUAGUUGUUGGGGGAUUCAUUUCCUUAGUAACGUAGCUAACGCGUGAAGUUGACCGCCUGGGGAGUACGGUCGCAAGAUUAAAACUCAAGGGAAUUGACGGGGUCAUAGCUGUUUCCU